Molecule: long non-coding RNA, 349 nt
Filed under: Populus trichocarpa (black cottonwood)
Lineage: Eukaryota; Viridiplantae; Streptophyta; Magnoliopsida; Malpighiales; Salicaceae
Description: long non-coding RNA (PTRI_LNC004677)
Source: RNAcentral
GAAGAAGCAUAUGAUUCUUCAUCAAUGAUGGGUUUUUUUGGUUUACUCACAUCAGAACGCAGAGGAGAUAGAAAAUGGAAGCAUUUUGAUGCCAUUUCUUUAACAUGUAUGUAAGGCUAAAAUGUUGCUGGUACUCAUUUUAAUAUUUGUCGGAAAUGAUCAUUAUUGGAAAUGAUGCAUGUUUUUCCCUAAUUUUCCAUACAUUUUCCAGUUCUUUCUAUAUUCAUCAUUUUGGUUGAUUUUUUUUUAUUUUUUUUUUUGGUUUUUAUCUAAUAUUUGUAGUAGCCAUGAAGGGUGAUUGUUAUUAUGUUGGUGACUUUUUUUUCCGUUCUGUCCCGCCCUUUCCUAU